This 140-nucleotide small RNA is filed under the name chicken gut metagenome. RNAcentral describes it as "HNH endonuclease-associated RNA and ORF (HEARO) RNA". It matches the Rfam family "HNH endonuclease-associated RNA and ORF (HEARO) RNA", at positions 1 to 128 of the family's 211-position model. The record is from RNAcentral.
GUCAACUACCCCUGCCUAAAGGCAGAGGCUUGUGAAAGCCUUGGUUGACUAGCCUUGGUGAUCUUCCUUUUGAGAGGUGAACUCCGUUGGUUGGGAAUGUAUAGGCACCGCGCAAUGUCGUUCCUAGUUGCGCGCUCUGC